Molecule: transfer RNA, 85 nt
Filed under: Acidimicrobiia bacterium
Lineage: Bacteria; Bacillati; Actinomycetota; Acidimicrobiia
Description: tRNA-Ser
Rfam family: tRNA
About the family: Transfer RNA (tRNA) molecules are approximately 80 nucleotides in length. Their secondary structure includes four short double-helical elements and three loops (D, anti-codon, and T loops).
Source: RNAcentral
GGAGGGAUGGCAGAGCGGACGAAUGCACCGGUCUUGAAAACCGGAGAGGGGCAACCCUCCGGGGGUUCGAAUCCCCCUCCCUCCG